AACGUCAUACUAAUGCGCCGGCCUCUCCAGAUUCCUGAUUGGUGCAGAUGUCUAAAAGACGUGCAGUACGUGAGGUUAAGCGAUCAUGUGUAUUUCCUUGAGUGGCCAUUUUUGACGAUGGAAAGCUGGAAUAUAUUCAUUGUGGUUACUUUUCAACCCCAGUAACGAGAUUCAGACGAGAGACACGGGCACCACCGUGACUUGUGUUAUACGCUUUAUAUUCGCUUUAUAUUCCUUUUUGUAUUCAUAUGGAUGUCACACAGUGCGUUUAUUUGACCUUGAAAAAGUUGCUCAUAUGCAACGAAACGCGUUGGUGAGACCUGCUUGACUGUGUUAACUCCCUUCCUGUGGACACUCUGGACCUGGACCAAGUCCCCGUUGGAAAUUUCCAUUGGACCAUACAAGGACAUUCCUAUUCCAUCGUGGGAAGCCACUCUCCGCCACACGACGAGGAACAGCCUUUUGCGGACGCAGAUUUGCUUAAAUACCUCUGGAGAUGUUGGUGGUAACUAUGAUCAACGGAUAGGACAUUGGGCCUUACAAAUCAAAGGGGACUUUUAUAGGAACAGGUUCAUUGCACCAGGCACUUUCAUUAAGAUCAUCCGAUAUUGGGAGUUAUGCAACCUAUCAUUCUCUUUAUUGUUUUUAUACAGAGCGUUUAUUUGGUAUUGACCACCCAUAUGCAUUGCAUUUGAUUUUUUAUGCUCAUAUAUAUAUUUCUUAUUAAAUUGUGAAUUUACUUGUGA
This is a long non-coding RNA of Pseudophryne corroboree (corroboree frog), 746 nucleotides long. RefSeq lists it as uncharacterized. The record is from RefSeq and is a predicted model, not a curated record. The transcript is spliced from 2 exons. Lineage: Eukaryota; Metazoa; Chordata; Amphibia; Anura; Myobatrachidae.